UGUACGGGUUUGGAAUGGGAUGGUGGGCUCAGGUCAGUGCAGCCACAGUGCAGAGGGGCCUCAGGCACAGCCGCUUGCGCUGCAGCCGUCGCCGUCCGAGGGGGUGCAGAGCUGCAGCCACGGCCCGCGGGUGAACCGGGCACGGCAGAAGGACUCGGACCAGGAUCUGCUGCUGGAAGCAGCCCCAAAAAUUAAGGAUGCACCAAAACGAUUCUUUGCCAGUUUGCAUUUUCCUCUCUGCCACAGGGCUGAGGUGAGGGGGUAAGCGUGGCCUGGUUCUUAGCUUGUCUGUUACCGGUGUGGCUCCUUGUCCUGUUCAGCUGGUCCUGCUGACCCAAACAUGAACUACGGUGAAAAAGCUCUGUUUACUACCUGAGAACACAGGAUCUAGUAGGAUGGUGUCCGUGCCUUCAGCAGGAGCCUGUACACUUUACUGUUAUCCUAAACACAGCAAAAGUAAAGAUGUAAAUGGACCUUUCAGAUAACCUUUGUUUCAGUAAUCUAGGAAUGGAAAAUAAUAGUAAUAGUAUUAGUAAUAAUAAUCAUCAUCAUCAUCAUCCACUUUAAUGGGAUCUGAAGAGAUGUUUGGGACCUUGUUUGUGAGCUGCUCAUUUCCCUGGUCGUGCAGUUCCCCGAACCGCUGAUUUAUUUGACUGGUUGCAGCUUACAGUUUCAACGAGUCCAGCCACAACAGAAACAUUGCAAACGUGUCUGUAUCCCUUUGCCUGUGAUUGCCUUCACUCCAGGAACUAGUCAGGAGGUUUGAGGUGGGCAUCACCAGGACUGCUGCACCCCUCUCUCCCUGCCUUUCCUGUGUGACAGAGCCCUGCACUGGAUGCAGUAUUCUAGAUGUGGUCCAAGGGGUGCUGGAUGAAGCGGGAGACGAAACUGGCAGCUGGAUGGAUUUUAAACUUGGGGCAGCAGGGGAAUGAGAACCCCUCUCCGGGGCUGUAACUACCCUCCCAAAGGGACUCGGCUGUACCAUAGGGACAUAGUCACAGGUUUUCAUGCUGGGAAAUGCCAUGAGAGCAAGACUGGGAUUGUCACCAACCUGCACAGCUGAAACUGGUGUGUGAUAUGAAGGUGGCAGCUCUGAUACGAGCCUAUAGACUGGUAUGAGCUCAAUAUAGCUGUCAUGUUCGAGUUGUAAGCCCAGAUUCUCUUGUGAUUUUCCAGCUCUUUCAUGCCUCCCAUGUUCUUCAAAGUGGCUGAAAAGCAGUUAGAGAGUUUCCUGCAAUUUCCUUCAGAGUGUGAACAUUCUGAAGCAUCACACCAGGAGAUGGUAAAGAACACGUCAAGGCAGAUAGAAAGUGCAGCCAGUCUCGCUAUGCCUAAUGCAUCAUUACCUAGGCUGCUCUAACCUGUGUGAGGGUCAAGGACGAUGGAAAUCCUGCAAAAGCAAGAGCAAAAUGAGAACUGCAAAAGAAUAGAGCAUGUCUAGAGUACCUGCUCCUCUGAUACAGAGAGUUUGUUCAGCAGAGCUUGGCAUUAAUGUCCAUAAUAUGUAUUUUAUGUCCAUUACAUUGUAGCAUACUUUUUAUUCCACUGUCUUUGCAGCGCAACCGCCUUUGAAUUGGAGUCAUGAAAUACUAAAAAAAAGUUAGGGAAUGAUGUUAACAAUAUAACUUUCAGCCCAAGAACUGGAAAAAACCUAAGCUGACUACAAAGAAAGUGUACUCAGUCUCUACUACACUUCAGUACUUUGUGAUGGAAAAACCUCAGAAGAGUCUUGGUUUCAAAGCCUUUGCCAUGUCUCUUUCACUCUUUGUCAAGUUUAGCUCUCAGUGAUACAUUUUCACUGCCAUCAUCUGCUGAGGUUAGGUGCCUUCUUCCCCAAGACAAACUGCAGCCGUGUGAAGCCAGCAAAACCUCAAACAGAAUCAAGAAUGUUUUCCCCAAGAUUAAGGACAAUACUGUCAUAAAUGUCGCCGUAUUAACUUCUCUAAACCUUCCUGAGUGCUGAGUGAUUUUCCUGCAUGGAGAACAGAAGUAGCAUGCUCUUUUCACCAGUGCAAGAAAGAUAGUACUUUUAAUUUAUACUUAGUACUCUGCAUUUUAAACUUAAGUCAGAUUUAUUAACUAGUUACCUCUAUCUAAAUGUAUAUAAACCCAAUUACAUUAUUUUAUGUAAUAUAUGGAAACAAUUGAUUUGUCUACAUUGGUUAAUAUAUACAUGUAUAAAACUGACACUGCUCACACUGCAAGUAGGGAUUACUGAAGUGAGUUCUGCAUCAACUCCUGUUCAGACAGGGCUAGUUAGAUCUUUGGCAAUACUGCCUAGACAUAAUAUACAUUGACCUUUUUGUUAAGAUGGGUGCUGACAGAUCCAAUAAGAAUAAUGGAGAAAGAAGAAGAAAUGUUAUAGAUAGUAAGACUCAAUGGAGUUACUCGUUCAUGCUGGCUAAAGAUCUUGCCACCUAAUUAACACAAAGACAACCAAAAAUUUUGGUAUGGAACAGCUUAAAGGCAAGAUCAGACCCUUAUCUCUGAUCAGCCUUCUUUGCAGCUUGCACCAGCUAUGAAUACAUCAGGUCUGUGCUAACCUCCCUCUGCAAGCUAUGGACACGUCUCAGGGUGGCCCAGGAGCCGUGCAAGCCACAGUGGUUUCCAGAGCAGGGUAAGGAAGCCCUAACAGAAUUUCGUUCAAGCUUACGGAUCAGCAUGCUGUAACUGGAGCCCUGCUCAACACCACUGCUGCUUUUCCCACUGGUGCUUCUGACCUGUCUCUUUGAAGUGCAGUUCCCCACCGCCGCAGAAGGGAGUGUUUGGAGCAGCUCAGGAUCUGGCUUUAGGACCCAUCUUUACUUUACAUCACUAACUGUAAAGCUGCCCAUCCACGACACUGAUUUACAGCUUUAUUUGUAAGAGCAGCAGUCACAGAGGAAGAGGUCUUGGCCCCUUUUCUCAGAAGGGUACAUGCAUCUCUAAGCUGUCUGAAAGCCCUGGAUUUAUGUAGAGGCAGUACUCCUAAAGGCUACCUAAAGAACGUGGGUUGUCUUUGACGUGGUAUACCCUUCCAGUGAGCGUUGCCUGAAAUGGAGUUUCCCUCACUGUCUAUUCUCUUUAUUGAACCAAAUUUCUGUUUAUAGUCACAUUUGCUUUCUAUCCCAUGCUGUCUGUCACUUGUGUUGAAUAUGGGCUUUGCACACAUGCCAAAUAGUUUGUUACUUGGCGAGAGUUCACUGGCAAGAGAAUUUGCUUCUACGCAUAGUAAUAGGCAUGUUUGGCUAAUAGGCUCUUUGUCUAAAAGCCUUUUGCAUAUUCAGAGCUGCUCAUUUGUCACGCUAGCCUGACCUAGGCAGCAAAUAUUAAAAAAAGAGUCGUAAAUAUGCCCUGUUCUUACUAGAAUGCCAUCUGAAGCAAACAUUAGCUGUUUCAUGAUAGUCAUCUGCUGCUCUUUAACUUCACAAGCGUUGUCCAACCACACUUGUUUCUAGAACAGUUCUCCUGUCCAUCACUGAUUUUUUUUGCUUUUGGAAUUGCCUUACUGCAUUGUCUGUGUUCUCUUAAGAGUACAUUUAAUACUGAAAUGGACAAGUCUGAUGAUGUAGUAGUUUGGGGAUGGCAAAUUUGAUAACCUGGUACAUGCAGAGCUGACAGCUUAGGAUCUGUCCUGAUUUUACAAUUAAAAGAAGGAUUUUUUCCCUAUCUACUGGGUGUGUGUAACAGGGUCUGCAACUAGAAGUACUGCUCACUUGAAUGACAUGUUCCCUGCUUCAGCGGGCAGAUAACACCUGCAUUACCUGGCACAUCUUCCUAAUUUGUGCAAAAAAGUUGUUGUAAGUUCAACUGGUAACUUGAGAAGGCAGGAAUUUCCUUGGGUAUAUGCAGAUGGCAAGUGUCUGUAGUGUGGGGACUGCCUGGUUGUUGGUAUGAAAAUGCCUCAAUGUAUUUUUUGUAACUGGCUUUUCCCAUGUCUAAAGUAUAGAUUUUGCCCUGUAACAGCUUUCUUCCUGUCAGUAUUUAAUAAAUCGUCUAAAGGUUGAAAGUCACUUUUUAUUUUGAAAUACUUAGACAUAUUGCUUUGUUCUACCUCAAACUAGUGGGUUUGGGUGUAUAACAAGCCAAUUUAUUGGCAGAGUAAAAAUCAAUGGCAUACAUACACAGGACUUUUCCUAUUUUAAUUAGACUAUACAGACUACUUUUUAAACAGAAGUCAAAACAGCAUGUUGCAGAAACACACAAAACCCUAAUUUAAAGGGAUUAGGUCAGAGAACAAACUUUUCCAUUGUUUGCUGUGAAUCCUGUAAAAAUAGA
Athene cunicularia (burrowing owl) is the source of this 4257-nucleotide long non-coding RNA. RefSeq lists it as uncharacterized. The transcript is spliced from 4 exons. The record is from RefSeq and is a predicted model, not a curated record. Lineage: Eukaryota; Metazoa; Chordata; Aves; Strigiformes; Strigidae.